Molecule: ribosomal RNA, 253 nt
Filed under: uncultured prokaryote
Description: partial 16S ribosomal RNA
Rfam family: Bacterial small subunit ribosomal RNA
Source: RNAcentral
UACGUAGGGUGCAAGCGUUAAUCGGAAUUACUGGGCGUAAAGCGUGCGCAGGCGGCUUUGCAAGACAGAUGUGAAAUCCCCGGGCUUAACCUGGGAACUGCAUUUGUGACUGCAUGGCUGGAGUGCGGCAGAGGGGGAUGGAAUUCCGCGUGUAGCAGUGAAAUGCGUAGAUAUGCGGAGGAACACCGAUGGCGAAGGCGGCCCACUGGGCCGGUACUGACGCUGAGGCACGAAGGCGUGGGGAGCGAACGGG